Benincasa hispida (wax gourd) is the source of this 2052-nucleotide long non-coding RNA. RefSeq lists it as uncharacterized. The record is from RefSeq and is a predicted model, not a curated record. Lineage: Eukaryota; Viridiplantae; Streptophyta; Magnoliopsida; Cucurbitales; Cucurbitaceae.
AUGAUUUUAGAAAAAUUAAAUUUUGCAAUCCGUUUCUAUUUUGACUAAAUGUUGGACUAUAUACCCUGCUCUAAGGGAUUAAGUAUUUGUUCUGUCCCAUUGAAUCGCUUGCUCCUUCAGACCUGUGGUUCGUUUUAAGUUGUUCACUACAAAAUAUUCCGUUGCAGCAAUUUGGAGCUAGUUGCUUUCAUUUUGAAAUUUAGAGCUAUAUACCCUACUCUUGGCUCAGUUCACGACUGUUUAUGCAUCUCAGGUGCUCGUUUGUUGUAUUAUGAACCAUAAUGAAAGAUCGUUUAAGACUUUACCCCACUUAUCGAGCUAGAGCUCAAUUCUUUAAUAGAUGGUUUAUAGCUUGCAACUGUGUUGCGUUUCUAAACUGCUUCACUUUCAUUUCCGUGCUUAAUGUUAAAAUUUUCCCAAUUCCAUGAAAUUACGUUAUUGUUGGGAUGAUUUGUUGUUAAACUUUUAGUAGUUGGGAGAUGUGGUAGUAGUGAUUUAAGACUAUGGUUUAGCUGUUUGGUGCUGCCUUUUUUGAAAUUUUAACUCUGACGGGUAUGGGUAUCUAUAUGUCAAGUUAUCAAGGAAGUUGUCUUAUUCAACAUUUACUUCAUGAUCUUUAUCGUAUCUAUGCACAAAGUGGACUUCCAACAUUCCUACGCUCUGAGCAGGAAGGAAGGAAGUCUGUGUGGACUGGAAUGUUAGUUCCUUUGUUUGAUUUGAGGGAUAUCUCUACUGGGCACUAGAUGUAGCUAUUUCUUAUGUUUGGUUCACUUUCGCCACUGGGUUUUGAGUUCCGAGUCUCUGACCACCAUCAAUGAAAUGGGAGGAGAAAGUUGAAGCCAAACUUUCCACUACAGGUUGUAUUGAUCUUGUUUUUUUGUCCUAGGCAUAUAUGAUAUUCAUGUAAAUAGGUGGUUGGGAUCUGUGGUUAUUCAAAGAUUUAAAGUGGCUUCAUGUUCUUAAGGAGUGGGUUUCAAAUAUUUAAAGUGGCUUCAUGUCCUAGGCAUAUGAUUUGAUUGGCUUUUGGUAAUCAUCAACUUGAUAGACAGAUAUUGUUUUGCCAAAGCUUUGAUGUUCUUCUUAACCUCCUCUAAUUAGGUAAUGAGUCAAAUUUGUUCUGAAUUUCCUUAUCAUCCAUUUUCAGUAUCCCUUUUUUUGUCUGUCAUUUGGUAAGGACGCAAUAAGUUAUUAUUAAUUUUAGUUUAAGGACAUGCGGGGUGGGAAAUUCAAAUCUCUGACUUGUUGGCCGAGAAUAUAUGUCGUAAUUAGUUGAACUAUGGUGUUCUUGAACUAUGGUUAGAUUGACAAGAAACGAUCAGUUAUUGAUAAUCUUGUCUUUGAAUUCUUUCUUGACAACAGACGGUGAUGAUUAUGUUGUUACUGAUUUAGCAAUAGUGUUUAUAAUGAUAAGAAGAAUUGUGUUUUAAGAUAAUAUGUCCCAAAAUGAAGGUUGUUCAUCUGUUGUAUUUUUUGUGUGCGCACGUGUUUCAGCAUUCCAUCAGUUACGGCUUGGUUAUAUAAUUCCACUCUUAUUGUUUCAAGGUUAUUGUGCAGAAGGCAGAGAGAAAUGACAUCCCUAGAAUUGAUAAAAAGAAAUACCUAGUUCCAGCAGAUCUUACUGUAGGACAGUUUGUUUAUGUCAUUUGUAAAAGGAUUAAAUUGAGCCCGGAGAAAGCGAUCUUUAUCUUGGUGGACAAUGUCCUCCCUUCUACAGCCUUGUAGAUUUCAAUGUCGAUUUCACCUCAAGGAACAACUUCAUCAACAAAUUUGUUCUCAUUGUUUGACUAAAAUCAACUCACGACCCCGCUUUCACUUCAUUCAACUCAACAAUUUCAAGCUCUUUAUCCAUAAUUUUGAUCGAGUUUGUAAAUUUUGAAGCCCAAUUCCAUGAUGUCAUAAUCUUGUAAACUAGUAGAUUUUGUAUUUUGUGAACUUAUAUAGUUACAAAUUAUAUUUGGUAUACUUUUAUUGUUGGAUAAUCAUUUUUAUUUUGUAAUGUACAAAUGAAUUACAAAAUUGCAGAUAUGAAAGGAAGUCAUGGUAUUUGAUGUA